GCAAAUCUCAAAGUCAAUUCCUUAAUUGGUUUUGCUUUGGACUUGGAGGUCUUGCAGAUUUCACAGUCUGCUCCUCUUAAAUGCAUUAGCUGGAUCUCAGUAAUUAUGCUUGGUUCCACUCGGCGUGAUAAGUAUCACUCGCUGAGGACACUGUUAAAAAGGUGGCCAGGAAAAUACUGAUUGAACCGCUUCUAACGGUCUAUUAAGUUAGACAAUUGACCCUUAAGU
RNAcentral lists this unclassified non-coding RNA (228 nucleotides) under uncultured Ceratobasidium. RNAcentral describes it as "sequence contains ITS2". The record is from RNAcentral. Lineage: Eukaryota; Fungi; Basidiomycota; Agaricomycetes; Cantharellales; Ceratobasidiaceae.